RNAcentral lists this ribosomal RNA (468 nucleotides) under uncultured bacterium. RNAcentral describes it as "partial 16S ribosomal RNA". It matches the Rfam family "Bacterial small subunit ribosomal RNA", at positions 28 to 507 of the family's 1533-position model. The record is from RNAcentral.
GACGAACGCUGGCGGCGUGCUUAACACAUGCAAGUCGAACGGAAAGGCCCUGCUUUUGUGGGGUGCUCGAGUGGCGAACGGGUGAGUAACACGUGAGUAACCUGCCCUUGACUUUGGGAUAACUUCAGGAAACUGGGGCUAAUACCGGAUAGGAGCUCCUGCUGCAUGGUGGGGGUUGGAAAGUUUCGGCGGUUGGGGAUGGACUCGCGGCUUAUCAGCUUGUUGGUGGGGUAGUGGCUUACCAAGGCUUUGACGGGUAGCCGGCAUGAGAGGGUGACCGGCCACAUUGGGACUGAGCUACGGCCCAGACUGCUACGCGAGGCAGCAGUGGGGAAUAUUGCACAAUGGGCCGAAGCCUGAUGCAGCAGCGCCGCGUGCGGGAUGACGGCCUUCGGGCUGUAAACCGCUUUCGCCUGUGACGAAGCGUGAGUGACGGUAAUGGGUAAAGAAGCACCGGCUAACUACGUG